CAUGCAAGUCGAGCGCACUCUUCGGAGUGAGCGGCGGACGGGUUAGUAACGCGUGGGAACGUGCCCUUCUCUAAGGAAUAGCCACUGGAAACGGUGAGUAAUACCUUAUACGCCCUUCGGGGGAAAGAUUUAUCGGAGAAGGAUCGGCCCGCGUUAGAUUAGAUAGUUGGUGGGGUAAUGGCCUACCAAGUCUACGAUCUAUAGCUGGUUUUAGAGGAUGAUCAGCAACACUGGGACUGAGACACGGCCCAGACUCCUACGGGAGGCAGCAGUGGGGAAUCUUGGACAAUGGGCGCAAGCCUGAUCCAGCCAUGCCGCGUGAGUGAUGAAGGCCUUAGGGUCGUAAAGCUCUUUCGCCAGAGAUGAUAAUGACAGUAUCUGGUAAAGAAACCCCGGCUAACUCCGUGCCAGCAGCCGCGGUAAUACGGAGGGGGUUAGCGUUGUUCGGAAUUACUGGGCGUAAAGCGCACGUAGGCGGAUCAGAAAGUAUAGGGUGAAAUCCCAGGGCUCAACCCUGGAACUGCCUUGUAAACUCCUGGUCUUGAGUUCGAGAGAGGUGAGUGGAAUUCCGAGUGUAGAGGUGAAAUUCGUAGAUAUUCGGAGGAACACCAGUGGCGAAGGCGGCUCACUGGCUCGAUACUGACGCUGAGGUGCGAAAGUGUGGGGAGCAAACAGGAUUAGAUACCCUGGUAGUCCACACCGUAA
Molecule: ribosomal RNA, 705 nt
Filed under: Phaeobacter sp.
Lineage: Bacteria; Pseudomonadati; Pseudomonadota; Alphaproteobacteria; Rhodobacterales; Roseobacteraceae
Description: bacterial SSU rRNA
Rfam family: Bacterial small subunit ribosomal RNA
Source: RNAcentral